GUGGCUUCAACUGCUCAGCACAGCACAUAUCAAUGACAGUAGCCAGUCCCUGUACAUUCCAAUAAGGUUCCGCUCCCUUCAUCCGGCAAGGCACCAUACCAUGCUGCAGGUAGGAUUAGAAGAAGAUCCUGCACAAAUGGAGGAGACAGUGGAAGUGACGGAGACGAAGGAGAGAGCUGAGAGGUAGGCUAUGAAGGUGAUGGUGGCGAUAGACAAUAGCGAGUGCAGCCGCUACGCCCUCUCUUGGGCCCUCCGCAACCUCCUCUCCUCCGACUCUCACCUCAUCAUCUUCUCAGCUCAGCCUGUCCUUGAAUUCAGUUACUUUUUCAUUACUUCCACUUACGCAGCAGAUUUGGUCAGUGAUCUCCAGGAGAAUCUUAAGAGUGCAACUUUGGCUCUUUUAAAGGAGGCUAAAGACGUCUGCUCCCAACAUGGAUCAUGGAUUGAUGGUGACUUGCAGAUUGUUUCCGAGACAGCAACAGAAGUUGGGCAACCGAAAGAGGUUAUCUGUGAGGCGGUCAAGAAACACGACAUCCAGCUACUUGUCAUGGGUAGCCACGGGCGGGGAGCGAUACAAAGAGCAUUUCUAGGAAGUGUGAGCGAUUACUGCAUCCACAAUGCCAAGUGCCCUGUUCUUGUCAUCAGGAAGCCCACAUGACACGAGAACGAAUCAGCUGCGUACUAGCAUCCAGUCUUUGAUCUGCAAAUAAUGAUGUUGUAUCUACUUCAAUGACGUUGGCUGAAUGUGCCAGUCAAGUGAGUCGCAUCGAUAAUGCCGUUGGCAAAGACAUUUUGUUUUGUACUCCCUAUAAUUUUGAGCAUAUAUAUGAACAUGAUGGCAGUAAUUCCAGAUGGGCCCAGGCCAAUUUCAAGUACUUCAUAAGUUUGAAACUAUGUGUGUCCCCUUCAACAUGUGCCCCUAGCAAAUGCUGCUGUGUCUGUUUCGUUGAGUAAAGCCUAUGCAGAGGUAAGUGGCAGUGAAUCCUUAUUCCUUAUCCAGGUUUCUGUCUCAUGAAAAAGACAUCUGGUAUGACCGGUCGUUUUGACCUGAAAAUAUCCCGCCUCCUGUUUACCAACUACCAAGAAAAAUUCGUCAUCUGUCGUCGUCGUCGUCGUCAUCAUCAUCAUUAUCUCCUUCACGUUCCAAGUUCCAACUUCCACAUUCUUCUCAAAGCCACAGCAGAACAUCCCAUAAACGAAACACGAUCUUGAUUCGAUCUUGAUGGAGGAGGAGAUAUUAUCAGGAGGAGGAGAAGGAGGUGACAAGGACAAGAAAGUGAUGGUGGCUAUCGACGAGAGCGAGUGCAGCCACUAUGCACUCGUGUGGGCUCUCGACAACCUCCGGGAAUCCAUCUCCGGCCCGGAUGCCCAGCUCCUCAUCUUCAUGGCCCAGCCCCCUCCCCAGCACAUCAUCACCUUCGCCGCCUCCCUCGGCUCUGCUCGCUUGUACUGCCCUGUUUCAGCCAGAGAAUCAUAAGAAGCUCACACUGGCCCUGCUGGACAGAGCUAAGGAGAUUUGUGCGGAAAGAGGGGUCAAGGUGGAGACAAUUGCGGAGGUUGGAGAACCUAAAACAGCCAUAUGUGAUGCGGUU
Non-coding RNA from Punica granatum (pomegranate), 1592 nucleotides. The record is from RefSeq and is a predicted model, not a curated record. Lineage: Eukaryota; Viridiplantae; Streptophyta; Magnoliopsida; Myrtales; Lythraceae.